UACAGAGACUGCAAGCGUUAUUCGGAUUCACUGGGCGUAAAGGGUGCGCAGGCGGCCAAGUGUGUGAGGUGUGAAAGCCCGGGGCUUAACCCCGGAAUUGCACCUCAAACUACUUGGCUAGAGCAUUGGAGAGGGUAGCAGAAUUCACGGUGUAGCAGUGAAAUGCGUAGAUAUCGUGAGGAAUACCAGAGGCGAAGGCGGCUACCUGGACAAUUGCUGACGCUCAGGCACGAAAGCGUGGGGAGCAAAAGGG
Molecule: ribosomal RNA, 253 nt
Filed under: uncultured bacterium
Lineage: Bacteria
Description: partial 16S ribosomal RNA
Rfam family: Bacterial small subunit ribosomal RNA
Source: RNAcentral